GUUGCACACGGUUUAAUUGUCCGGGCCUGUGUGUGUAAAAGAAAACGAGUCUCUCAGACCCUCAUUAGCCUCUGUCGAUUCAUUUUUCUCUUCCUCUUCCUCUUCCCUUCUCUCACUUCGUUUUCCCUUUUUGCUUGAAGUUGAACAGGGUUUCAUCCUUUUAGGGUUCGUGUAAAAUCAUCCAAGAUUCCAUUGAGAGUUUAAAUAUCAGGAAAACAACGAAAUCAAUUGAGGAACAAGUAAAAGAUAAACAUUUUUUAGAACUUGGGUGAACCGACUGGCCUAGCUACCAAAAUUAUCAAAGCUAUGUUUGCGAAAGUGGAUCUACAAGUCUCUAACCUCAGUUUCAGCAUGGUCACUACAGUGCGUGAGUUAGCUAAGCGUUUUCUUGAUUUAUUUAUUUUCGCUUAAAGGCAACAUCUGUCCAUAUUAUACCUAUUUUCUUCAUACAGAUAGGGGAGAUCGUGGUGCCACGACAAAUUCAGUAGUGUUUAAGCUUAGAAAAUUGAAGUCCAAGCAAGCCUCCAUUAUCUUAAAAUAUAAAGGAUGAAACCAUUAUAAGAACUGUAAAUAUAAUUCCUCACAAGAACACUGUGUUGUAUUCUAGGCAUUAAUAUACAAUACUCUCAAGUACUUAUCCCACUAUCUUCCAUAUAACACCGUUGUCAUUUUGUUUUUGUUUAUACUUGACACUCGGUAAUUAACACUGCUAUUUUUUAAGACUCCACAAGUUUUGUUAAAUGACCUUUCUUUUCAAUAUCUUUAGCAUGUUUCAAGUUAUCUGUGUUGAGAAACUUAUUCUGUAAUUCUUCCUGAUAUAAGAGCACCUACUUCUGAUUUUCAUGAAAACUCUCCACCAACCAAUGCACAAAGUCCAACAACAACCCUUUAAAGGUUCGCAAGAUUCUAUAAUGAGAACCCCUCCUAUCCUACAGAACGAUGAAUGGGCAAUUGUAUGAAUUCCGUUGAAUCCUUCACAAAUACAGCCAAUACAAAAUUCAGCACCUCCACUACUUGCACCUUCAAUGACGUCUGGAGCUUCCACCUAUGUUUCCAGUGAAAAGUUCAAGACACACAACCGCCUCCAAUGACGUUGCAGCCAGUACAAAAUUCAAUACCUCCUCAAACUUUCCUAGAACUCAUCACGACCCUUUGUAUUGCCGAUACAAAAUUUACCAGUGCCUCCACCAAUGUUUAUGAUACAAAAUUCAUCACUGUCACUGACGUCGCCAGCAUGCAUUCAAGCACCACCACCAAUGCCCCAUUAAGUGUUUUUACCCUUCGAACCAGCAGUACCUAUCAUACAUUAACGUUGUUGUUCCAAACUCAAAUACGAUCUUACAGUAAGGAAACCAAAAGGAAGAUGCAUUCUUCUAUCUUCUCCAAGUCGGUGCAGCUUCCUGAGUAUCUAAAUUGGAUCAAGGAUGAGUAAACUGAGGGGGCAUGUGAAUGUGUCAAAAUAAGGCAAACUCCGAGACUUCACCUCCAAAAAUGACUCCAGGCGCAUAAAACCGAUUUUGCAAUGCGCUUGCUCCAAUUCAGGAAUAAAUCCAGGGCUGAAGUGAAGCACAACGCCUCCUUGAUAUGCACGUAUGUCGUUUCAUUGUUGUGGUGAUGAAUGCUAUAAACGCUUCAUUCAUUCAAUGCAUUUUUCAGACGAUAACAGGGGAGAUGGAAUCCAUUUGUUUCUCAUACCAUUGGAAGAAAUCUAUGCCGCCUUACUCUAUGGGGAUUAGAGAGAUCCGAGCCUAGGAAUUUUUUUCUGGUGUGAUGUAAUGUUGGAACUUCUCACAGUAGGAGACGGAAGUCCUACGACAGGAUCAAGGCCAAGCCAGAGCUCAGGGGGCAUUCAUAUCAUGAAUUAAGGGAUGAGAUUCCAACGUUGAAUGUGUUUAAUACAAAGAAACAACUGACAACUGACCCCCUAGAUUCGCAGUUAACAGAUCAACCACCAUGUUCUUAGUCACGUCUGGGUCUGAUAUCCCGGUCGAUACGUACGUAAAGAAAUAUGUAUACAAUUGUCUUACCCUAUGACUAUAAACAAGUGACAGGGAUAGUCGGUUAAGUAUAUCAGUUGUAGGAUAAUGGUUUCCAACCAUGGCCAUCUUUAGAUACACAACAGCCCGAAUAAUGAGGUUGCUGAAGCCAAGAAACAAAAUCCAAGAAAUGACCCUAAAUGUGGUAUAUCCUGAAGUACUAUUACGAGGUAAGUUGGAAUUGGGAAAUAACUACUCCCUCCGUUACUUUUUAAUAGGCUGAUUUGGUUUUUAGAGAAAAUUAAGGAAAUUAAGUGAAGUAAUCAUUGAAAGUGGUCCUCACGACACUUGUCAAUAAAAGAAGUGAAGUGAAGUGGUCCUCAUGACACUUGUCAAUAAAAGAAGUGAAGUGGAAUGGUCCCCCAUGACACUUGUCAUCAAAAGAAGUGAACUGCAAGUGGUCCCAAAAAAUUAAAGUAACAUUUGACUUUCCCAAUUUAGAAACUGGCCUAUUUUUUUGAAAUUUUUAUUUAUAGAAACUGGCCUAUUAAAAAGUAACGGAGGGAGUACAUUAUAGUGCACUAACACCAAAAUGUAUACUUUAAUGAAUCUAAUCAGCAGUGUGAUGGGAGAAUCAAAAAGGUAACCCAGACGGCACUAAAGACUAUGAAUAUGCAUUUUCGUGAACAAACUAUUUGUUAUUCUGUAUGUAGCAGGUUGCUUAGGCUAAAGCUUCAGCUAAACCAAUAAUUAAUUUUCACUAUAUUUGUUGUCUUUGGAGA
Papaver somniferum (opium poppy) is the source of this 2758-nucleotide long non-coding RNA. RefSeq lists it as uncharacterized. The transcript has 11 exons. The record is from RefSeq and is a predicted model, not a curated record. Lineage: Eukaryota; Viridiplantae; Streptophyta; Magnoliopsida; Ranunculales; Papaveraceae.